GAUGAACGCUGGCGGCGUGCCUAAUACAUGCAAGUCGAGCGAACAGACGAGGAGCUUGCUCCUCUGACGUUAGCGGCGGACGGGUGAGUAACACGUGGAUAACCUACCUAUAAGACUGGGAUAACUUCGGGAAACCGGAGCUAAUACCGGAUAAUAUAUUGCACCGCAUGGUUCAAUAGUGAAAGACGGUUUUGCUGUCACUUAUAGAUGGAUCCGCGCCGCAUUAGCUAGUUGGUAAGGUAACGGCUUACCAAGGCAACGAUGCGUAGCCGACCUGAGAGGGUGAACCGCCACACUGGAACUGAGACACGGUCCAGACUCCUACGGGAGGCAGCAGUAGGGAAUCUUCCGCAAUGGGCGAAAGCUUGACGGAGCAACGCCGCGUGAGUGAUGAAGGUCUUCGGAUCGUAAAACUCUGUUAUUAGGGAAUAACAAAUGUGUAAGUAACUAUGCACGUCUUGACGGUACCUAAUCAGAAAGCCACGGCUAACUACGUG
Molecule: ribosomal RNA, 497 nt
Filed under: uncultured bacterium
Lineage: Bacteria
Description: partial 16S ribosomal RNA
Rfam family: Bacterial small subunit ribosomal RNA
Source: RNAcentral